RNAcentral lists this long non-coding RNA (1329 nucleotides) under Helianthus annuus (common sunflower). Its description in RNAcentral is "hypothetical non coding rna". Lineage: Eukaryota; Viridiplantae; Streptophyta; Magnoliopsida; Asterales; Asteraceae. The record is from RNAcentral.
UUAAACCCCACUAAGUUCAGGAGAUCUCCACCGUAUCUCCGGCGUGUGUUCGCCACGACCACCGCCAAUUCCAACUUCCACAAAACCCUAACCAGUUUUAGUUACCACUUAUCAUCAACGCUCUCCUCUCAUCUACUCUCCUCUGCAACCUAAAUUAAGCGUAUGAUUCUGUUUGAAGCAAGCUAGAAUGAGAUUGCUCAGAUCGAUUUUCACUUUCCUCCUCCUCCGGAUGUAGGCGGGCUAAUUCGAAAACAUCUUCAGUGGAGACACUCUGAGAGAUCUAAAGUCAUAUGGAACUUUGAUGCAGCAACUGCAAAGACUUCUCAAACAUGGGUUUUCAUUCUCCUUUUAAAUUCUAAUUGUUUGCUAGUUGGCCUAAAUGAACAUAUAUACAUUACCUUGCUGUUAAUAGUUGCUGGUGCAUUCCUAUCCAAAGCCACAAAUAUAAGGAUUCAAACAUGUCGCCUAAUGAACAUGUCUUCUUCAGAAGAGCUAUGCUCACCCAAAUUACAAAAAAAAGGUUGGUCGAAAUGAGCGAAACAGAUCAAGUGUUUUUGUGUGGCCGUUAGAUGUGCUUGUUGAUUGGGUCUGUUAUGGGGGUAAUAGAGGUCAAGACCGCUAGGAAGCUGAAGAAAAGAUUAUUCAGGUUCUGUUGGUCGCGGCUUCAUAUGCUUUCGGAAGGGGUUGGGCAAAGGGUUGUGAUUCUUUUGUUGUGUGAGUUUUGGUGUCCAUACAGGUUCCGAAAGGGUGGGAGGGGUGUGUUUUGGCGUGUGUUUAACUGGGUCGUGGUUAAUAUUCGGUAUAUAGUGUGUUGGUACUAGCAACUUGGUUCUCGUAUGUUCAUUUUUCGUAUAUGCGUUCUUUUUCGUGUAAAUUUCAUUUCGGGUGGGAACCUUUAUUCCGAAACCUUAGUGGUGUAGUGGGUCAAGAUGGCCGAGGCAUAAAGUCUAGACUAUCUUGGGGACAAAAUGGAAGCUAUAAGCUAGAAAUAAGGUUUUUAAUGAAGAGAUUCAGAGGAUAUGAGGUAUUCAGAAGGAUAUAUAGUGUGUGGCUGUGGCUGAAGGAAGAGAGAAGGUUUACAAGAGGAACCCGAGUUAUAAGAUGUGUCUGUACACCUACAGGUCAAUGAGAUGUAGUUAAAACAGCAAUAGUUUAGCAUUCCUAAGUGUCCAAUAUGUGUUACCAGUUUAACAUUCUUUUCUUUGUUAAUCUUUAGUAAGGUGUUUAAAAAUAUAAAUGAUCACCAACUAUAUAUUUAUCUUAUUUUUAAAGACGAGAUUUCAAAUACCCAAUUGACGAAUGUUUGUUAUUUAGUCAACCUUUUUAUUA